CAAGCUUGCUUGGUGGAUCAGUGGCGAACGGGUGAGUAACACGUGAGCAACCUGCCCUGGACUCUGGGAUAAGCGCUGGAAACGGCGUCUAAUACUGGAUAUGAGCCCCUAUCGCAUGGUGGGGGUUGGAAAGAUUUUUUGGUCUGGGAUGGGCUCGCGGCCUAUCAGCUUGUUGGUGAGGUAAUGGCUCACCAAGGCGUCGACGGGUAGCCGGCCUGAGAGGGUGACCGGCCACACUGGGACUGAGACACGGCCCAGACUCCUACGGGAGGCAGCAGUGGGGAAUAUUGCACAAUGGGCGAAAGCCUGAUGCAGCAACGCCGCGUGAGGGAUGACGGCCUUCGGGUUGUAAACCUCUUUUAGCAGGGAAGAAGCGAAAGUGACGGUACCUGCAGAAAAAGCGCCGGCUAACUACGUGCCAGCAGCCGCGGUAAUACGUAGGGCGCAAGCGUUAUCCGGAAUUAUUGGGCGUAAAGAGCUCGUAGGCGGUUUGUCGCGUCUGCUGUGAAAUCCCGAGGCUCAACCUCGGGCCUGCAGUGGGUACGGGCAGACUAGAGUGCGGUAGGGGAGAUUGGAAUUCCUGGUGUAGCGGUGGAAUGCGCAGAUAUCAGGAGGAACACCGAUGGCGAAGGCAGAUCUCUGGGCCGUAACUGACGCUGAGGAGCGAAAGGGUGGGGAGCAUACAGGCUUAGAUACCCUGGUAGUCCACCCCGUAAACGUUGGGAACUAGUUGUGGGGACCAUUCCACGGGUUUCCGUGACGCAGCUAACGCAUUAAGUUCCCCGCCUGGGGAGUACGGCCGCAAGGCUAAAACUCAAGGAAUUGACGGGGACCCGCAC
Molecule: ribosomal RNA, 839 nt
Filed under: Microbacterium testaceum
Lineage: Bacteria; Bacillati; Actinomycetota; Actinomycetes; Micrococcales; Microbacteriaceae
Description: bacterial SSU rRNA
Rfam family: Bacterial small subunit ribosomal RNA
Source: RNAcentral